Molecule: ribosomal RNA, 3306 nt
Filed under: Triticum aestivum (bread wheat)
Lineage: Eukaryota; Viridiplantae; Streptophyta; Magnoliopsida; Poales; Poaceae
Description: partial small subunit ribosomal RNA
Source: RNAcentral
AUGGAGCACGGACGAGAUGAGCAAGCAGAAGAGGUGUUGGGGGACAUAAUCUUAGCCGGAGGUGAUAUCUUGUCAUAUCUUAACGACAAUGAUGGUCUGGAAGAACAGGGUGAAGAAGCUGGCUGCGGUGAUCGAAGAGUGGAGGAGGAAAGACAUGAUUAUGAUGGCUCCGGUGACCCAAUGCUGGUGCAAGAAGGAGCCCGUGGUGACGGCUCCGGUGACCGAACAGAGUCCGGCCAGCCCUCCGGAUCGAGCACAACUGCGGUAAAGAGACGAGGCCCGAAGAGAAAGUUGCGCUCGGAUGAAAGGUUUGAGAUCACAGCAAUCGCGCGCGACGGCCAACCGAUUGAACCCCUCCGGACAAAGGAUGCUUUUGCUGCUCAGUGCGGGGUUCUAGUUAGGGAUAAGAUCCCGAUCAGCAUCCACCAAUGGUAUAAGCCUAAGAAGGAAGACCCUGAGGUGUCUUAUGUCAAUGAUAUGCAGAAAGAUGAUCUUUGGACUGAGCUGAAGGGAAAUUUCACCCUACCGCCAGAGGAGGAUCCGGAGAAGCCAGUUAUAGAGCAAUUAAUCAAGUCUCAUGCUCUUAAGAAGAUGGCAGACCUAUUCAGGAGGUGGAAGAAUGAGCUGAAAACGUUUGUCGACAAAGAAGAGACACCUGAAUUCAUCGGCCGGUAUGAGAAGAUCAGAGAUCACUGGCCCGCAUUUGUGGCCCACAAGACAUCGGAAAAGAGUAAGAAGAUGUCAGCGACAAACAAGAUGAAUGCUGCGAAGAAGAAGCUUCACCAUCGCACUGGGUCAGGUGGCUACCUCAAAGCCCGGCCUAAGUGGGCCAAGUCUGAGAGGGAUCUGCUUGAUAAAGGGAUCGAACCACAGACAAUGAACUGGCCAGACCGUUGCCGGACUUGGUUCUUCGGGGCUGGCAGAACCUUGGACCCUGUAUCAGGGAGGUGUCGUUGGAUGGACGAGCAACUUGCAAUACCCGUCAAGAAGAUUCAGCACUAUAUCGAUGCAGUGCAGCAAGGGACGUUCGUUCCAGACAGAGAGAACGACGAGCUCACAAUGGCCCUCGGGAAUCCUGAGCACCCUGGACGGACACGAGGCACGCCAGGCUCCGUUCCAUGGAAGGCUGGUUUUCCGGACGCGGGCGGUUACAAAACCCAGGAGAGGAGGAAAAAAGUGGAGCAGAUCCAAAUUCAGCGUCUGCACGAAAGGGUUCAAGUGCUAGAGGAACGAGACGGCAAUAGAGAUGCCGAAACUGCCCCCGAAGCUACACCGCCAUCUCAGCGUAGAAGCAGCGUGGCUUCCACCGAGCUGCCUCAGCUGGAGCAUGCGGCCACUCCUAGCUACCCCGUGGAUGCUAUCACGGAGUCUCAACAUUGCCACCUUAUGGCGGAAUGGCAGAACUUGAAAGUCAAGGCGGCUGUUGGCUCUGUUUUACCUACUGAACCCGACGCAACCUACCACUGCCGGCAGAUUCCAGAAGGAUAUGCUAGGGUGAUGGUGGAUGAAAUAAUGGAGGGAUUUGAGGACCUCCAGCUUGACCACCCUACCGGUGAAGGGGAGACGCGGCUGGGUUUAGCUCUAAAGACUCCAUGCCUAUGGCGGAAGGAGCUCAUCAAGCUUCCGAACUGGACGGCUCCGGUGAGUAAGGGCACUCCGCCUCCUCCUCAGGCGAGUGAUCAGGGCACUCAGCCUCCUUCUCCGGCGCGUGGCGGCACUCCGCCUCCUCCUCCGGCGAGUGAUCAGGGCACUCAGCCUCCUUCUCCGGCGCGUGGCGACACUCCGCCUCCUUCUCCGCCAGCGCCGGCGCGCCAGAGCAGCCAGCCUCCUCCUUCUCCGCCUCAUCAGCAAGGGCGGAAGAGACCCGCCGCCGCUGCGGCUGCUCCGGCGCGUCGUAGUCCUUCUCCUCCGCCUCGUAAGCAAGGAAAGAAGACAACUGCAGCCACUCUGUCUGCUCUGCCGGCGUCUAGCAGUACAGCUGCCAGAGGCGGGAGGCAAUACAGAUUCGGUCCUUCUCUGAAGACUCCAGAGAAGUUACCAUAUGAGAGGACCGAGGAGGAGAACGCGAAGAUCGUGCGAGCCGAAGUGAAGAACUUCUUUGAAGGGGACAAAGCAAAGAAACAUCCACCUCCGGAGGAGAAGGUAGAUCCGGUGAAAGCAAAGCGCACUCUGGCUGCCCUGACAAAACCACCAAAGUCUCUGCCAAAAUGCAACUAUGAGCGCGUUCUUGCAAAGGCAUAUGCCGAAGCGGAGCGGUCGGGAAGUACUGUCAGUGAUAAAAGGAUGAAAGAACGACGAGCUGGGAAAAAAAUUGCCCAGCUCGGCGAACAAGAGAACCAAUCGUGCCCCCCGCUCAAGGUGUCAAAAGACAUCGUCGCUAAUGAUCCGGGUAUGGUGCCCGGUUAUACCGAUCUUGGAGAUUACCUGCCCGACGAUGUACAUUAUGAAAUCAUGGAGGUGGACGAACACAAAUACCAUUACGGGAAGCCUCUCGUCAAAGAUGUCAAAUCUCUAAGCAUGAUGAUGCGAAGACUACAUGAUUGGUACAUGAAAACCUGCAGAGAGUCUGAUGGGAUGAGUACUUUCACGCUGAGAGUUAAACCGGAGCAUGACCUCGUUGGAAUUGAACUGCUGAAUGUUCCAUUUGAGGAUUUCUUCCAGUUUUACAAUCUAAAGUCCCUCGAUAAAACAACGAUCACUUGCUACUGUCUAUUGAAGAUCGCCGAAUUGAAGAAAAGACAAAUCGGUGAUAUUGGGUUCAUUAACACAAAUCUCAUAGAUGAUUAUCAGGUUAAAUUUCAUGCCAAAGAUACCGAGGCCAACUUGCUACAAUCGUUGGUAAUAAAUCAAAACAAAGAUAUAAUACUCUUUCCUUACAACUUCAACUUCCACUAUAUUCUCCUAGAGAUUAAGCUUGAGCCGGGAGUAGUAACCGUCUUAGACUCGAGACGAAAAGAUCCCCAGGACUAUGCGAACAUGACUCAAAUGCUCCAGAAGGUUUGGAGAAAAUUCACCUCAAAAGCCCCGGGACUGCCGAGCCAGCUGCAAUUUAGACACCCGAAAUGGUUGUGGCAGCAACCCGGGAAUAAUUACUGUGGAUACUACAUUUGCGAGUCCAUCCGCUACCAUACCUGUGAGCGGGGCUACACUGAAGAACAAUAUGAAAUUUUUCGGAAGCGGGAUCAACUCCUAGCACCAGAUCGUAUGCGAGGAAUUCAAGAGGAAUUGGCGGCAUUCUUCCUUGACCACGUGAUCGCUGAAAACGGAGAAUACUAUGUGGACCCUGUGUUCCUACAAUAUAAUUAG